Molecule: long non-coding RNA, 614 nt
Filed under: Homo sapiens (human)
Lineage: Eukaryota; Metazoa; Chordata; Mammalia; Primates; Hominidae
Description: non-protein coding lnc-FOXD4L5-22:4
Source: RNAcentral
GAGUUGAAGAGCCGAUGGGCAGCAGGCAGACUUGAGUCUCCUUUCUGUCCAUGGGCUCGGGCCACUGUAUCAGGUCCACCCGUGGCUCCAAAAUGGUCUCCUGGUCCGUGAUAGCAAAGAUCCAGGAAAUAUGGUGCGAGGAAGAUGAGAGGAAGAUGGCGCGAGAGUUCCUGGCCGAGUUCAUGAGCACAUAUGUCAUGAUGAACAUACAUAUGAUAGUUGAGAAAGACACAUAUUCUGAUCAUGAAGAAAUAAACACAAGUUAAAUAUGACUAAGCAGAAAGAUGGAAGGACCAGGAAUGGUGAUGCUAACUUGGAACCACGAUGCAGGCUCUAAACUCCUCUACAAUCAUCCUCCCUUGUGAGAAAAAUACUUGAUCUGAAGGUCCCAGCAAGGAGCCGACUCACAGAAGAAUGCAGUUUUCACAUCAUGAUGAUUUAAUCUUCCUUGACCUGAGCAAUUGACAACCCCAAUUCUCCAGAACCUCACCCGCCACAAUCCCCUUAAAAACCCUGGCCCAGAACCCCUCAAGCAGACAGAUGUGAAGCUUGAGGAUUCCUUCAUCUCUUUGCCCAAUGGCAUUGUGAUUAUUAAACUCUUUUUCUGCUGCAAA